GAUUGGGAGGAGGUUGCGACCUCCGUUUGGUGAAGCGUAGUGCCAAGAAAAGCUGUGUAAGUGUUGAAGUAUUAGUACCCGUACCCCAAACCGACACAGGUGGGUAGGUUGAGUAUACUAAGGGGCGCGAGGUAACUCUCUCUAAGGAACUCGGCAAAAUGGCUCCGUAACUUCGGGAGAAGGAGUGCCACCGAGAGGUGGUCGCAGUGAAGAGGCCCAAGCGACUGUUUAUCAAAAACACAGGUCUCUGCUAACUCGUAAGAGGAUGUAUAGGGGCUGACGCCUGCCCAGUGCCGGAAGGUUAAAGAAGCCGGUCAGUCUUCGGAUGAAGCUGGCGACUGAAGCCCCGGUGAACGGCGGCCGUAACAAUAACGGUCCUAAGGUAGCGAAAUUCCUUGCCGGGUAAGUUCCGACCCGCACGAAAGGCGUAACGAUUUGGGCGCUGUCUCGGAGAGAGGCUCGGCGAAAUAGGAUUGUCUGUGAAGAUACGGACUACCUGCACCUGGACAGAAAGACCCUAUGAAGCUUUACUGUAGCUUGGGAUUGGGUUCGGGCUUGGUUUGCGCAGGAUAGGUGGGAGGCUAUGAGGGUUAGUUUGCGGACUAACCGGAGCCGCUGGUGAGAUACCACUCUAACUAAGCUAGAAUUCUAACCUCAACCCGUAAUCCGGGAGAGGGACAGUUUCAGGUGGGCAGUUUGACUGGGGCGGUCGCCUCCAAAAUGGUAACGGAGGCGUGCAAAGGUUCCCUCAGGCUGGUUGGAAAUCAGCCGAAGAGUGUAAAGGCAGAAGGGAGCUUGACUGCGAGACCUACAAGUCGAGCAGGGUGGAAACACGGCCUUAGUGAUCCGACGGCACUGCGUGGAAGGGCCGUCGCUCAACGGAUAAAAGUUACUCUAAGGAUAACAGGCUGAUCUCCCCCAAGAGUUCACAUCGACGGGGAGGUUUGGCACCUCGAUGUCGGCUCAUCGCAACCUGGGGCGGUAGCACGUCCCAAGGGUUCGGCUGUUCGCCGAUUAAAGCGGUACGUGAGUUGGGUUCAGAACGUCGUGAGACAGUUCGGUCCAUAUCCGGUGUAGGCGUAAGAGAAUUGAGAGGAGCCUUCCUUAGUACGAGAGGACCGGGAAGGACGCACCGCUGGUGUACCUGUUAUCGUGCCAACGGUAAACGCAGGGUAGCCAAGUGCGGAGUGGAUAACCGCUGAAAGCAUCUAAGUGGGAAGCCCACCUCAAGAUGAGUUCUCUGUUGGGGUCAACCCAGUAAGGUCACGGGAAGACUACCCGUUGAUAGGCGCUAGGUGGAAGUGCAGUAAUGUGCGGAGCCGAGGCGUACUAACAGACCGAGCGCUUG
RNAcentral lists this ribosomal RNA (1348 nucleotides) under metagenome. RNAcentral's name for it is "bacterial LSU rRNA". It matches the Rfam family "Bacterial large subunit ribosomal RNA", at positions 1564 to 2925 of the family's 2925-position model. The record is from RNAcentral.